AUUCCAGCUCCAAUAGGGUAUAUUUAAGUUGUUGCAGUUAAAAAGCUCGUAGUUGGAUUUCGGGUGGGUACCGCCGGUCUCCCACUGGGUAUGUACUGGCGUGGCCCGCCUUGCUGUCGGGGACAAUCUCCUGGGCUUUACUGUCCGGGAAUUGGAGUCGACGAUGUUACUUUGAGUAAAUUAGAGUGUUCAAAGCAAGCCUACGCUCUGAAUAUAAUAGCAUGGGAUAACACGACAGGACUCUGGCCUAUCGUGUUGGUCUGUAGGACCGGAGUAAUGAUUAAGAGGGACAGUCGGGGGCAUUCGUAUUCCAUUGUCAGAGGUGAAAUUCUUGGAUUUAUGGAAGACGAACAUCUGCGAAAGCAUUUGUCAAGGAUGUUUUCAUCG
This 387-nucleotide ribosomal RNA is filed under the name Chlorothrix sp. (in: green algae). RNAcentral describes it as "Chlorothrix sp. partial small subunit ribosomal RNA". It matches the Rfam family "Eukaryotic small subunit ribosomal RNA", at positions 582 to 975 of the family's 1831-position model. Lineage: Eukaryota; Viridiplantae; Chlorophyta; Ulvophyceae; Ulotrichales; Ulotrichaceae. The record is from RNAcentral.